RNAcentral lists this ribosomal RNA (902 nucleotides) under uncultured bacterium. RNAcentral describes it as "bacterial SSU rRNA". It matches the Rfam family "Bacterial small subunit ribosomal RNA", at positions 54 to 946 of the family's 1533-position model. The record is from RNAcentral.
CAUGCAAGUCGAGGGGAAACGACAUCGAAAGCUUGCUUUUGAUGGGCGUCGACCGGCGCACGGGUGAGUAACGCGUAUCCAACCUGCCCACCACUUGGGGAUAACCUUGCGAAAGUAAGACUAAUACCCAAUGACGUCUCUAGAAGACAUCUGAAGGAGAUUAAAGAUUUAUCGGUGAUGGAUGGGGAUGCGUCUGAUUAGCUUGUUGGCGGGGUAACGGCCCACCAAGGCGACGAUCAGUAGGGGUUCUGAGAGGAAGGUCCCCCACAUUGGAACUGAGACACGGUCCAAACUCCUACGGGAGGCAGCAGUGAGGAAUAUUGGUCAAUGGACGAGAGUCUGAACCAGCCAAGUAGCGUGCAGGAUGACGGCCCUAUGGGUUGUAAACUGCUUUUAUAAGGGAAUAAAGUGAGAGUCGUGACUCUUUUUGCAUGUACCUUAUGAAUAAGGACCGGCUAAUUCCGUGCCAGCAGCCGCGGUAAUACGGAAGGUCCGGGCGUUAUCCGGAUUUAUUGGGUUUAAAGGGAGCGUAGGCCGGAGAUUAAGCGUGUUGUGAAAUGUAGAUGCUCAACAUCUGAACUGCGGCGCGAACCGGUUUCCUUGAGUACGCACAAAGUGGGCGGAAUUCGUGGUGUAGCGGUGAAAUGCUUAGAUAUCACGAAGAACUCCGAUUGCGAAGGCAGCUCACUGGAGCGCAACUGACGCUGAAGCUCGAAAGUGCGGGUAUCGAACAGGAUUAGAUACCCUGGUAGUCCGCACGGUAAACGAUGGAUGCCCGCUGUUGGUCUGAAUAGGUCAGCGGCCAAGCGAAAGCAUUAAGCAUCCCACCUGGGGAGUACGCCGGCAACGGUGAAACUCAAAGGAAUUGACGGGGGCCCGCACAAGCGGAGGAACAUGUGGUU